Yersinia enterocolitica subsp. enterocolitica 8081 is the source of this 151-nucleotide non-coding RNA. NCBI's taxonomy places the organism in Bacteria, Pseudomonadati, Pseudomonadota, Gammaproteobacteria, Enterobacterales, Yersiniaceae. The record is from Rfam.
UCGACACGACAUUGAUGGCGACGUCAGUAGCACUGGCGUGUGGAGGUAGACCGAUAAAAAUCGGCCCGGCGUAAGCUGCAAACAGGUCUGAGACCUGGGGAACCUCGCAAGAACUCAACAUUUCGCCGCCCUGAUGCAUAAAUGUUUGUCG